Xyrauchen texanus (razorback sucker) is the source of this 839-nucleotide long non-coding RNA. RefSeq lists it as uncharacterized. The record is from RefSeq and is a predicted model, not a curated record. Lineage: Eukaryota; Metazoa; Chordata; Actinopteri; Cypriniformes; Catostomidae. The transcript is spliced from 3 exons.
GGAUGCUGCUAGUGUCAAACUGUGCCCACCCCUCACCUGCAAAUCAUUGGCCAUCUUUUCCUUGAGCUCGGUAAAGAUCUGAAGAUCAAUUCUGAAGCAGUGGGCAGUUUGUUUAGAGGUCUUGACUGAAAAUGUCUUUAAAGAGGAGAUUACUCUCCACGUUGUUGUGCUGUGUGUACUGUGUGGCAUCACUCUUCUGCCUUAACCCGGACAGAAACAACUGUGUCUCACAUGGUGCCCGGAAUUUGGUAUCAGUUAUUCAGCAGCUGUACCAGCGUGUGAUGAGGCUUCUACGCACCACUCUGUGACUUUUCUCAAACAAGAGGGAAGCUGAAACCACAAGGAUCAUAUUACAGAAUACUUAUCAAGAGACAGUAUAACUGAUAUAAAGUAAUGGUCAUCAACUUUAAAAGAUAUUCCCCAACAUGAUUAAAGGUGCAUCUGCUUAAAAUGGGUUGAAGUGUGCAUUUGGGAAUGAUGCUGUUGUCUUUGUGAGAGGGUAGUCCUGAUAAAGAAGGAACAUUUUACUUAAAACUCCACGCAAUAUGCUAUAUCAAAACUUACAAAAAUGUAAUACACAGACCGAAUGCUUAGAUAAUAUAGAGAGAGAGACAAUAUGUGAUUCUUUGGUUGAACAAAGAGACAUUAUUAUAAAAGUUAUUUUCUUUGCAGUCUUGAGGUGUGACAUCCAGUGAAAAACAGAAUUUCUUAAACUAUGACCUUCAUAAUCCUGAGGGAUAAUUGUUAUAAAAGGAAGGUUAUGUGUACAACUGAAGUUAAAUGCACAAGGCCUGUGGGAAUUUAUAUUAUUUGGCUAGACGUAUUUAACAGGGAAAAGA